Oncorhynchus keta (chum salmon) is the source of this 997-nucleotide long non-coding RNA. RefSeq lists it as uncharacterized. The record is from RefSeq and is a predicted model, not a curated record. The transcript has 3 exons. NCBI's taxonomy places the organism in Eukaryota, Metazoa, Chordata, Actinopteri, Salmoniformes, Salmonidae.
GGAACUGGGGGACCCAAGAGCAGACUCAGCCGAGGAGACUAGGAUGAAGUAACCAAGAUAUUUAUUGACACACGGGGGGAGACUGAGUGCAGGUCAGGGGAAGCUCGGGCGGGUUGCUGGAAACCAGGUGCAGAGGCUUGAGCGAGAGGGGUUGAGACAGGGUAAGCAGGUCCGGAAGGGAAUCCAAGGGAGUAGUAGAGUGGGGAUUCCAGGACAAAGUAGCAGGAUGACGAGACGUGGGACUGGAGACAGGGACCAGAGUCAGAGCGGGCAGAACUAUAGCGGAGAGGAAAACAGCAAAAGGGUAUUGUCCUACUGAAAGGUGAAUUCGUCUCCCAGUGUCUAGUGAAAAGAAGACUGAACCAGGAUUUCCUCUAAGAUUGGUCUGUGCUUAGCUCCAUUCCUUUUAUUCUUUUAUCCUGAAAAACUCCAUAGUCCUUAAAGAUUACAAGCAUACAAAUAACAUGAUGCAGCCACCACUAUGCUUCAAAAUAUGGAGAGUGAUACUCAGCAAUGUGUUGUAUUGGAUUUGCUCCAAAUGUAACACUUUGUAUUCAGGACAAAAAGUGAAUUGCUUUGUCACAUUUUUUACAGUAUUACUGUCACGAAUCCCGUUUCCUGAGUCUGUUUUUUGCCUGUGUUCUGUCCUGGAGUGUUUUUUCCGGCGUCCUGGAACGCACCCUGUCUGGUUGCCGGGCAAUGUAGCCAGUUGGGAGUUCUGAUUACCCGCACCUGUAUCCCAUCAGCUAUCUGCUCACCUGGUCCUGAUCAUCAUCUCUCCUCUUCAUAAGCCCGGACCUGACAUCCAUUCCCUGCCGGAUCGUUAGCCAUGAACAUUACUCACCCGGAUCAUUUACCCCAUUCCCGCCUGGUCGGAGGAGGAUUCCGCUACCCCAUUGGAUCCACCUAAUUACUCCCAUCAACUCACCACCGCUGCCCGCUACGCCACCUGGAUAUAUCUACCCAUUCACAUUCACUUGUAAAUAAAUACUCACCU